UUAGAGGCAAACGGGUGGAGCCGCAAUGCGUCGACCCGGGGGAUUCAACCAGGCCGUGCGUUCGGGACGCGCCGGGGCAACGCGGAGCUGUAAAGCCCGCGCUUCGGCGUGGUCUCCGGGCGGACUGGUGCACUUUCCUCGGGCCGAUGGCCACGACCGGCUCUCCGCGCGGCCAAAAGCCAAGCCGGGAAGGUGACCGCGGGCCUCGUCGCCUGCGGUGUUAUAGCCCGGCUUGCGUUGAGCUCGUGGGAGGGCCGAGGAAGCGUUGCCGUUCGUCGCCACCCUCCGGCCAUCCUUGCUCGUCACGACUGGGGCGGACUGCUCUGCCAGUGCUCUCCCGACCGCGAGCGUAGGAAGGGUCGGUACGGUGCGACGUGCUUCGGGCCAGUGGCGAAUCGGUCGGUCCUCCACCCGACCCGUCUUGAA
RNAcentral lists this ribosomal RNA (426 nucleotides) under Lamellidens generosus. RNAcentral describes it as "partial 28S large subunit ribosomal RNA". Lineage: Eukaryota; Metazoa; Mollusca; Bivalvia; Unionida; Unionidae. The record is from RNAcentral.